CCCGCCCUACGGGCGGAAAGUUAAAAAAAACUAUUUUAUAUGAAUGUACAUUAUGAAGCAUUUUUUUAAAAAAAAUUGUAGAUUGGAAACGAUAUUAUAAACAAAAAUAAAUAAAUAGAAUUCAUAGAUCAUGUUGUUAUUUUUAAUAAAUAUUUUUAGACUGAAUUAAAAUGAUAGUAAAUUUUAUUAUUCUAUGAAGAACAAUCUAAUAUAAUAAGAUUACUGAUGUCCGCAUAUAAUUAUACAAUGAUCAUGUCAGAGAGAUAUGAUAUUAUCUAAGCCAAAACAACCUUUUGUUAGUGUGAGUAGUUUGGUCUAUGUAUAUUUUAAUUAAAAUGUGAUAGUUUUCUCCUAACGAAAGAGUUGUGGACAAUUUGCUGGAUGUUCUGCUAUUUAAGCAGAUGCUUGGAUAAGGUUCUUUAAGCGAAAGAAUCUAAAUGUCUUCCCUUAAAGAGGUAAAAAAAUUGGCAGAGCAAAUUGCACAAUUGAAAAGAAGCUAAUGAGUUUGAAGAUAAUAUGAACGACCAAGAACAUGAAAAUGUGUUAAUAAAGAACUCACAUAUGUACGAUAUGAGAAGGUAUAAACUUCGAGAACAAUAUUGCUGUAGUGUAAAAUAAAUUUACUAUUUGUUUUUAAAUAAAAUUUAUUUUAAAUAUUUUGAAAUAUUUCAUUUUUAAACUAAAAGUUUAAAAAUUUCUUUAAAUGCAUAAAUUAUAAUAGGUUCAACAUUGGUAAUUUGUAUAAUUUUCAACGAUAUAUGUAGAUUAUGGCAUACCAAAAAAAGAAAUAUAAUGAUCACUUGAUUAGAAUGGAAAAAAUGGUUAAUAUAUUCGAGUAAAAUAAUAAGAAGGUGAGAUGUGAACAAAAUGUUUACAAUAGACAGAAUUUUAUUUUAUUUAUAUAGAUAUCCUAGCAUGUAAAAUAAUUCAGUUUCACAAAAUAGUUAUAAUGUACUAUAAUAUAUUCAAAUGUGUAUUGUGCAAAAAAUGUGUCUGGAUUUAAACAUUUGUCAAAAGAUACCAAAUAAAAUUAUUUACAUGUGUCGAUGUUAAGAUUCUUAAUUGUUAUUUAUUGCAUAUAAAAUAAAACUAUAUGUCAAAGAAAUUGGAAUACCUAUAUCCUUGAUUGAAUAACCCCUUUUUUUUUUUGAUCAACCAAAAUACUUAGAUUAAGAAGAGGGAAGUAACAGGGAAUGGCAUACUAAUUAAAUAACCCCUUAUAUUCUAUCCUUCAUAGAUUUGAAUUAUGCUGAUUGUCGUGUACUCCAUAAUUUUUUUUGUUGUUUGUUCUUUUUUUAUUCAAAGAAACGAAUUAACUUCGCAAAUAUAUAUUUACUUGAAGUUUCAUUUCAAAAUUGAACACAUGCGAAGGCUGGACAUUUUCUUGUUUAUGGGCUUAGAUGGGUCCGAAAGAGAAUACAAAACUUGAGCAUAUAUUAAUAUUUUUCACCUUAGGCCCACCAAUCUUAUUCCUCUUCUUAUCUUUUUCUUCUGUUCUCCGUCAAAGACCUGCGGCGACAGCUAUUUCGCACCUUCCUUUUCUUAAAUCAAAGGUGAAUGAGUGAGUUGGUGACCUAUACCCCUGGUGUUCUGAAGACUCUAAUGGCUCGUGCGCAGCUUCUUCAAUUUCUUUCAUCUCCAGUUUCUUCAUCGAGUACCCGUUUUCUCGAAGCUUCAUUUGAUUCUCGCUGAAAUCUUACCAUCGACCAGCUUCCUGCUUUGAAUGAACUCGAUACCAUGGUUAGAUAAUCGUUCAUGUUUCUGUAGUUUCCGUAGUUAGUAUCCAACUCUGUAUAGAUCCACGGCGAGUUCAUAUGAAGGAGAAGAAGGUGAGGUGUCUCGGAUGGCCCAUAAAAUCUAGGGCUUUCCCUUGAUAAUUCUUUGGCCAGACUUUUUAUGUGUUUGAGGCCAACUGAAUAGCCCAUUUAAAAACAGUGAAACAAACAUUUUACAAACCCGUGUUUAGGUGAGCUGACGUGUCACGCUCUGGUUCUUCUAGUUUAUGACGUGGCUGCCUAUGUGGUGCAACAGGAGGGAGACAAACAUUUUUUUUUAUAUAUAUAGAUGCUAUCAUGGUGCAUAUAAAGAGUUAAGAUGAGUCCUAAAAUAAUAUACUAUAAUGUAAUGAUCAAUGGCAUUUUUUUGUAAUUAGUCUAGUUGAAAAAAGAUUUUUAAAAUAAUGAAGUGAGAGAGCUUGUGGUGAUGACACUUAAGAAAUGACACACAUGUAAUAAACACAUGAAGCAAAGGUUAGUUUUUACUAAUGCUCCUCAAAUAAUAAAAAAAGAAUGUCUUCCUUACAUCAUCCUUAAUUAGUUUACGGUUCAACCAUUUCUAAUAUAAUGAGAGUAACAUAAUAUUAGAUGUUGAUUAUCUCCUUCCAAUUAGUAAUGCAUAGAAUGAGAGAAAUUCAACGUAAUACCACUUUAAAAUUUUGUCAUCAUAUUUAUAUAGAGUUAGUUUAUAGAUUACUUUAUUUGUUUCAAAAUGUAAUCAGUUUAAUUAAAAUUAAUAUAUAAAAGUUAUUACUUUAGAAAAUUGUCAUUUAAUAUAAAAAUUUAAUCAAUUACACAGUAAUAUAUACAUAAUUUAAUUGGCCACACAAUAUCCAAUAAAUAUAAAGUUGCAUUGAAAUAUAAAAACAGUUUAUAUAAUGAAACAAAAAAUACUUUUAAACCAUUAUAUUAUAAAACAAAUAGAAUAUUCAAAUUAUAUUGAAACAUUAUAAUAGUAAGAAUCAGAAAAGCUGAAAUCUCAACGUCGAAGCCUUAGACCAUCUCCAAUGUAUUCCUCUAUUUUUUCUCUGAAAUAGAGGAAUUUCAUAAUAGAGAUGGAUUUGUCUCCGAUAUAUUUUUCUAUUUUCUCUUCUAAAUAAGAAUAUUCUUGAUAUACUCUUUUCUAAGUUUACAAAUAAUAUUUUUUUAUUUGUGAAAGUUGAUAACCAGCCCAAUUUAUUUUAGUAUUUUAUAAAAUUAUGAUAUUAUUUACACUAAAUAUUUCUUUACAAAAUACUAUGUAAAUA
Molecule: long non-coding RNA, 3022 nt
Organism: Brassica rapa (field mustard)
Lineage: Eukaryota; Viridiplantae; Streptophyta; Magnoliopsida; Brassicales; Brassicaceae
Source: RefSeq, a predicted model, not a curated record